UUGACCUCAAAUCAAGUAGGACUACCCGCUGAACUUAAGCAUAUCCAUAAUCGGAGGAAAAGAAACUAACAAGGAUUCCCCUAGUAGCUGCGAGUGAAGCUGGAUAAGCUCAAAUUUAAAAUCUGGCGGUCUUGCAGCCGUCCGAGUUGUAAUCUGGAGAAGCGUUUAUCCGCGUCGGACCGUGUACUACUCUUCUGGAAUGGAGCGUCAUAGAGAGUGAGAAUCCCGUCUUUGACACGGACAAUCCGUGCUUCUGUGAUGCGCUCUCGAAGAGUCGAGUUGCUUGGCAGAGCAGCUCAAAUGGGUGGGAAAUUCCAUCUAAGA
RNAcentral lists this ribosomal RNA (324 nucleotides) under uncultured Piloderma. Its description in RNAcentral is "eukaryotic LSU rRNA". It matches the Rfam family "Eukaryotic large subunit ribosomal RNA", at positions 1 to 315 of the family's 3401-position model. The record is from RNAcentral. Lineage: Eukaryota; Fungi; Basidiomycota; Agaricomycetes; Atheliales; Atheliaceae.